CACGUAGGCGGACCAGAAAGUUGGGGUGAAAUCCCGGGGCUCAACCCCGGAACUGCCCUCAAAACUAUUGGUCUGGAGUUCGAGAGAGGUGAGUGGAAUUCCGAGUGUAGAGGUGAAAUUCGUAGAUAUUCGGAGGAACACCAGUGGCGAAGGCGGCUCACUGGCUCGAUACUGACGCUGAGGUGCGAAAGCGUGGGGAGCAAACAA
RNAcentral lists this ribosomal RNA (207 nucleotides) under uncultured bacterium. RNAcentral's name for it is "partial 16S ribosomal RNA". It matches the Rfam family "Bacterial small subunit ribosomal RNA", at positions 568 to 775 of the family's 1533-position model. The record is from RNAcentral.